GAUACAAGCGAGCGGCGGACGGGUGAGUAACACGUGGGUAACCUGCCCAAGAGACUGGGAUAACACCUGGAAACAGAUGCUAAUACCGGAUAACAACACUAGACGCAUGUCUAGAGUUUAAAAGAUGGUUCUGCUAUCACUCUUGGAUGGACCUGCGGUGCAUUAGCUAGUUGGUAAGGUAACGGCUUACCAAGGCAAUGAUGCAUAGCCGAGUUGAGAGACUGAUCGGCCACAUUGGGACUGAGACACGGCCCAAACUCCUACGGGAGGCAGCAGUAGGGAAUCUUCCACAAUGGACGCAAGUCUGAUGGAGCAACGCCGCGUGAGUGAAGAAGGGUUUCGGCUCGUAAAGCUCUGUUGGUAGUGAAGAAAGAUAGAGGUAGUAACUGGCCUUUAUUUGACGGUAAUUACUUAGAAAGUCACGGCUAACUACGUGCCAGCAGCCGCGGUAAUACGUAGGUGGCAAGCGUUGUCCGGAUUUAUUGGGCGUAAAGCGAGUGCAGGCGGUUCAAUAAGUCUGAUGUGAAAGCCUUCGGCUCAACCGGAGAAUUGCAUCAGAAACUGUUGAACUUGAGUGCAGAAGAGGAGAGUGGAACUCCAUGUGUAGCGGUGGAAUGCGUAGAUAUAUGGAAGAACACCAGUGGCGAAGG
Molecule: ribosomal RNA, 650 nt
Filed under: uncultured Bacilli bacterium
Lineage: Bacteria; Bacillati; Bacillota; Bacilli
Description: bacterial SSU rRNA
Rfam family: Bacterial small subunit ribosomal RNA
Source: RNAcentral